GAUGAAGAACGUAGCGAAAUGCGAUAAGUAAUGUGAAUUGCAGAAUUCCGUGAAUCAUCGAAUCUUUGAACGCACAUUGCGCCCCCUGGUAUUCCGGGGGGCAUGCCUGUCCGAGCGUCAUUGCUGCCCUCAAGCACGGCUUGUGUGUUGGGCCUCCGUCCUCCUCCCGGGGGACGGGCCCGAAAGGCAGCGGCGGCACCGCGUCCGGUCCUCGAGCGUAUGGGGCUUCGUCACCCGCUCUUGUAGGCCCGGCCGGCGCUUGCCGACACAUCAAUCUUUUUUCCAGGUUGACCUCGGAUCAGGUAGGGAUACCCGCUGAACUUAAGCAUAUCAAUAAAGCGGAGGA
This 346-nucleotide unclassified non-coding RNA is filed under the name soil metagenome. RNAcentral's name for it is "partial contains 5.8S ribosomal RNA, internal transcribed spacer 2, and large subunit ribosomal RNA". The stretch from base 1 to 120 matches the Rfam family "5.8S ribosomal RNA", at positions 35 to 154 of the family's 154-position model. The record is from RNAcentral.